RNAcentral lists this long non-coding RNA (518 nucleotides) under Marmota monax (woodchuck). The record is from RNAcentral. Lineage: Eukaryota; Metazoa; Chordata; Mammalia; Rodentia; Sciuridae.
AUUUAGGAUUGGAAUCUAAAUACUUGAAGAAAAGAGAAGAUAGCAUUCCUUUACGUGGACUAAGCCAGAAUCUGUUUAGUAAUUCAGGUGAGAAAAGACAUUUCUGGACUGAAUUUUUUGUAGUGUGUAUACAUAAAGACUAAAGUGAUAAUCUUUGUUGUUUCAUUUGCAGAUCAUCAGAAAGAUGGCAGUCUAGGAGUGAUGCAGACAUCUUCCAAACCUGCAGUGCUCCCCUCUACAUCUUCAGCCUAUUUUCCUGGGCAGUUACCAAACAGUUAAUUCUAGCAUUGUCUUUUUACUUUCUAUUGACAUUUCAGAAACUCAGGUGUUUUAAAAAUAUCCUAACAGGCAGAAGUCAAAUCCUAACCAGGCAAGUUUCAGAUUUUACUUGAGCUAUCUACCAUUAGACUAUUUAGAUCCUUAAUUCUACUACUGGAUUUACAGCACACAGUUAAAAAAGAAAUAAAUUUGUAUUCAGGGAUUGGUAAAGAUGCUGAGUAAAAGAUAUUUUGGUCUGU